CGCAAGCCUGACGGAGCAAGACCGCGUGCGGGAUGACGGCCUAAUGGUUGUAAACCGCUUUUCUCUGGGAAGAUGAUGACGGUACCAGAGGAAUCAGCCUCGGCUAACUCCGUGCCAGCAGCCGCGGUAAUACGGAGGAGGCAAGCGUUAUCCGGAAUUAUUGGGCGUAAAGCGUCCGUAGGUGGUUAUUCAAGUCUGCUGUCAAAGCGUGGGGCUUAACUCCAUAGAGGCAGUGGAAACUGGAUGACUUGAGUGCGGUAGGGGUCGAGGGAAUUCCCAGUGUAGCGGUGAAAUGCGUAGAUAUUGGGAAGAACACCGGUGGCGAAAGCGCUCGGCUGGGCCAAAACUGACACUGAGGGACGAAAGCUAGGGGAGCG
This 377-nucleotide ribosomal RNA is filed under the name uncultured cyanobacterium. RNAcentral's name for it is "bacterial SSU rRNA". It matches the Rfam family "Bacterial small subunit ribosomal RNA", at positions 376 to 770 of the family's 1533-position model. Lineage: Bacteria; Bacillati; Cyanobacteriota. The record is from RNAcentral.